CAGCAGAGCUUGUGUUGUUUGUCGGCCUGACUGCAUCGCCGCCUCACUGACUGAUGAACUCACCCGCUGGCUGCGUGUCCGCGUCGGGGGGAGGGGGCUGAGCGUUGUGGGGCGUGAGAUUAGCCCCGAGCUUCACCGCAGGUCCGAAAUGAACCAGCGGACUCACUUUGUGCGCAGCUGCGGGAUCCCUGAGGCGUGUUGUGAAGCGUGAUAUUAAACCCUGAACUCCACAAUGGGAGGCCGCAGAGUCCUGAACGCCGUGGGCGGCGAUCGACAGCUUCCCUCGCCUGGAACAAAACGCUGCCGGGAGAGAGAAGCCGCCUCAAUGGUGUGAAAUGAUGAAGAGGGGGUGGGGGGGGGGGUUUGGCGGACUCGCCUCGGCUAUUAGCGCGGAGUGACUGACCGCAGAUCGGUGGACGACAUGAUGACACAUUUCAAAGUUCGGGUUGACUUCACAGUCACGCCAGAGAGUGCCAAGAAAGCGAGAAGUGGAGCGGCCCGGUGGAACCGGACCAACGCUCCCGUUGGUCCUCGCUGGAUUGGUUCUCGGACAAAUACGAUACGAAGGGUGAAGCUCAGCCGGCGCCGCAGCAGGUGCACACAAACCGACGGCCUUUGGGGAUUGACUUGGUUUGGGCUUCUGCCUCAUCAUCGACGGCUUGAAUUCUCAACAGCGAAUUUCUGCGGCUUGGUUCAACAAACGCGUAGAGACCAGUUUUCUGAACGUCAAGCAGCCUCUUCGUUCAAAGGAAGCUGUGAUGAAGAGGAGUUCGGGAUGCUUCAGUUCCUGCUAUUGAAACCGGGGUUUUGGUCUAGGUCUGCUACCCAUUCACCAACCUCCUGCCGACAGCACAGGGGUAAACCGUCUCUCUGCUGUGAGCGUCUACUGCUGACCACCGAGACGGAGACAGUACUACAGAGGGGUGAGAUGCCAGCGGGAGUUGUUGCAUUCACCAGCAAAUCUUUGACCCGCCGAUUCCGCAACAGGGGAGGCCAAUUUCAUGCAGCAGUCGGCUUCUAUUACGAAAAACCUGAAGCAUCAGUUCCAACAGGCACAAAGGAAGAAGUGCGCCUUCGGGGCCCGUCCGCCUGAACGGGUUCUUUUCAAGACAAAACAGGAUCUUUUCCUAAACGCUAAACAGUUUUUCUGCCGAAAAAAAAGCCCCCCGAAGGCAAACUCCUCCCUCGCGCUUCCAACAACAGGACGAGACGCCUGCUGGCGGCAUCGAAGCGACGAGGAGAAGCCGGUGCGAUCAGUGGAAAUCUCACCGGAGCCCACUUGGUUCCUGCAGCACAAAAACAGACACGACUCGUUGCAUAGUUACAUUUAUCUCCAUCAGAGGUCAGUGAACUCGUCAAUGCAAAGGUUGGACACGGCUUAGCAGAACUGUACAGUAAACGUGGCAACGUCCUUAAAGGAGGAACAUGAGACAUCGUCCACACCGGAGCAUUUUUUACCUCGUGUCGAAGGUCAGACGCGAUCUACACUGACAGCAAUGUCAGUCUAAAUCUAAGCUGCUCAUUUCCCAUCACCAAAGGUCAAGCAAUCAUACGACCAUUCAGCGUGUUCAUGGGGGAGCUGGAAGGUUUCUCAGAGCGCUCGCCACCAACACGCCACCAACCUUCUGCGGGUUCAGCGUCGUAAACAUCUGACCCGCACGGCUCUAUUUGGAUUCGUGACUUUCUCUCCAAGCUGAAUAUUAGGAAGAACCGAUGGGCUCUGCUGUGAGGAGCUUCUUCUCAGUGACUGGACACGUGCUUGUUUAGUCCAGGAGGGUUUGAGGUGCAUUCUGGGAGCCGACCCGCUGAGUGCGAAAGGAUUAAUGGAGACGCUAAUGACUCUCCUGAAUCAGGCUGGAGCUGUUUGUGCUUCAGUGGCUGCAGGUUCAGAGGGUUAGUGGAUCGUUUCUCCUUCAGGGCCAGGAGGGAAAAUCAUGGCAAUCCGAGUUUUCUUCGUUUGUCUCUGAAGGAGCAAUGUGCAAACUCAUUUAAAUUCUCCUCGGAGCUUUAAAACAGCAGCCAUGAUUCAGCAGGUCCGUCAGUUACGGUUAUUUAGGUUCUGUCAAGACUCAUUUUAUGCUCAAAAUUACCUUUUUGUCACAGUAGAAAUAAGACCUUAAUGUCCUGACUCGAUAAAUGAGAAGAAAAACUAAAUCUCACACUGCGACGGUCAUUAUUUGGAUAUUUAUUCCUUCUGUUUAGUCUUGUUCCAUAACUGUUCUGAUCCCUGCAGUCUUCAGCUCACCUGCUCUCCUCCACCCAGCUGGUUCCUCCUCCCUCUUUAGCUCAGUCGUGAAUAAAUAGCGGUUCAUUUGUUAGUGUUUUUGUGCCUUAGUUUUCCAGAAUCUCAUUUGUGAUGAAAUCAUCGCUGUUUAGAGUAAUUCAAAGUCGAUUUAGAUAAUAUAUAGAUGGAAUAAACUAUACUAACCCAAAAAAGCUAUAAAGGAUUCUCUUUCUAUACAACCAGUGUCUCUGUUAAUCUGAAUAAUUCCCAUUACAAAGUCCACAGUUUGACUGGAAACCCUUCUGAAGAAAUGUUCCAUAUGAAUAAAGAGUAAAUGAACCGUGUGUGGAUGUCGACCUGUAAAACUGCACCC
Gasterosteus aculeatus aculeatus (three-spined stickleback) is the source of this 2597-nucleotide long non-coding RNA. The record is from Ensembl. NCBI's taxonomy places the organism in Eukaryota, Metazoa, Chordata, Actinopteri, Perciformes, Gasterosteidae.